Molecule: long non-coding RNA, 199 nt
Filed under: Gossypium raimondii (Peruvian cotton)
Lineage: Eukaryota; Viridiplantae; Streptophyta; Magnoliopsida; Malvales; Malvaceae
Description: long non-coding RNA (GRAI_LNC003839)
Source: RNAcentral
UCUUUUUGAUGCAUUUUGAAAGUUCAAGUACCCAAUUGAGUGUAAAAAAAAAGUAGGGGAUUAAUUUCUUUUUUGAAAAGGUUUGAGGUCUUUUUUGAUGCAUUUUGAAAGUUUAAGUACCCAAAUGAGUGCAAAAAAAAAAGCAUGGGCUUAAUUGUUUUUUUUUUUUAAAGUUUGAGAGUUUUUUGCACCCUUAAGC